CAAAAAUGAUGAUACUGGGAGAAGACGACCAAGGCCUGAUCUUUGAACUGGGGCUGGAUGCUGAGUUACUUGAAAACAAAUAUUUGGAGGCUACCACAUAUUCUUGA
RNAcentral lists this long non-coding RNA (107 nucleotides) under Anas platyrhynchos platyrhynchos (common mallard). Its description in RNAcentral is "lncRNA (ENSAPLG00000018883.1)". The record is from RNAcentral. Lineage: Eukaryota; Metazoa; Chordata; Aves; Anseriformes; Anatidae.